This 327-nucleotide ribosomal RNA is filed under the name uncultured eukaryote. Its description in RNAcentral is "partial 18S ribosomal RNA". It matches the Rfam family "Eukaryotic small subunit ribosomal RNA", at positions 1470 to 1796 of the family's 1831-position model. The record is from RNAcentral.
CCCUUAGAUGUUCUGGGCCGCACGCGCGCUACACUGACGAAUGCAACGAGCUUAUAACCUUGGCCGAAAGGUCUGGGUAAUCUCCAAAUUUCGUCGUGAUGGGGAUAGAUUGUUGCAAUUAUUAAUCUUCAACGAGGAAUGCCUAGUAAGCGCAAGUCAUCAGCUUGCGUUGAUUACGUCCCUGCCCUUUGUACACACCGCCCGUCGCUCCUACCGAUUGAAUGGUCCGGUGAAGCGUUCGGACCGUGGCCUUUGGACGGUUCGCCGUCUGUUGGCUGCGGGAAGUUCGUUAAACCUUAUCAUUUAGAGGAAGGAGAANUCGUAACA